UACAGAGGUCUCAAGCGUUGUUCGGAUUCAUUGGGCGUAAAGGGUGCGUAGGCGGCGCGGUAAGUCGGGUGUGAAAUCUCGGAGCUUAACUCCGAAACUGCAUUCGAUACUGCCGUGCUUGAGGACUGGAGAGGAGACUGGAAUUUACGGUGUAGCGGUGAAAUGCGUAGAUAUCGAGAGGAACACCUGCGGCGAAGGCGGCUACCUGGACAAUUGCUGACGCUCAGGCACGAAAGCGUGGGGAGCAAAAGGG
Molecule: ribosomal RNA, 253 nt
Filed under: uncultured bacterium
Lineage: Bacteria
Description: partial 16S ribosomal RNA
Rfam family: Bacterial small subunit ribosomal RNA
Source: RNAcentral